Molecule: ribosomal RNA, 615 nt
Filed under: Apiotrichum montevideense
Lineage: Eukaryota; Fungi; Basidiomycota; Tremellomycetes; Trichosporonales; Trichosporonaceae
Description: partial large subunit ribosomal RNA
Rfam family: Eukaryotic large subunit ribosomal RNA
Source: RNAcentral
GCGGAGGAAAAGAAACUAACAAGGAUUCCCCUAGUAACGGCGAGUGAACCGGGAAAAGCUCAAAUUUGAAAUCUGGCUGUCUUCGAUAGUCCGAGUUGUAAUCUAUAGAAGCGUUUUCCGUGCUGAACUGUGUCUAAGUCCCUUGGAACAGGGUAUCAAAGAGGGUGAUAAUCCCGUACUUGACACAACCAUCAGUGCUCUGUGAUACGUUCUCUACGAGUCGAGUUGUUUGGGAAUGCAGCUCAAAAUGGGUGGUAAAUUCCAUCUAAAGCUAAAUAUUGGCGAGAGACCGAUAGCGAACAAGUACCGUGAGGGAAAGAUGAAAAGCACUUUGGAAAGAGAGUUAAACAGUACGUGAAAUUGUUGAAAGGGAAACGAUUGAAGUCAGUCGUGUUCAUUGGAUUCAGCUAGUUCUUCUAGUCUACUUCCUUUGAACGGGUCAACAUCAGUUUUGUCCGGUGGAUAAAGGAUUUAGGAAUGUGACUCCCUCGGGAGUGUUAUAGCCUAGGUUCACAUACACUGGGUGAGACUGAGGACUGCAGCUCGCCUUUUGGCCGGGGUUCGCCCACGUUCGAGCUUAGGAUGUUGACAUAAUGGCUUUAAACGACCCGUCUU